UUUCAAUUGAUAUUUCAAAAUGUCUCUACAUUUUCAUUGUGCUUUCACAGUAACACUGCUGUACUUUUCUUUGUUAAAUGCUACACCGUUUUUCCAAGACUAUGAAGACCCGGUCACAGCAAAGAGGUUCGCGGAGUUCAACUGCUA
Ostrinia nubilalis (European corn borer) is the source of this 147-nucleotide long non-coding RNA. RefSeq lists it as uncharacterized. The transcript has 3 exons. The record is from RefSeq and is a predicted model, not a curated record. NCBI's taxonomy places the organism in Eukaryota, Metazoa, Arthropoda, Insecta, Lepidoptera, Crambidae.